CGACCUCGUGUUAGGGUAGAGUACCCGCCAAAUUUAAGCAUAUUAAUAAGCGGAGGAAAAGAAACCAACAGGGAUUCCCUUAGUAAGGGCGACUGAACUGGGAAAAGCCCAGCGCAUAACCUGGCGUCGUGACCCGGCGCCAGGGGUGUUGCGUUUCGGAGGGUCCGGCACGCAGUCUCUCACCGCCUAAGUUAU
This 195-nucleotide non-coding RNA is filed under the name Enterospora canceri. Its description in RNAcentral is "Eukaryotic large subunit ribosomal RNA". It matches the Rfam family "Eukaryotic large subunit ribosomal RNA", at positions 1 to 189 of the family's 3401-position model. The record is from Rfam by way of RNAcentral. Lineage: Eukaryota; Fungi; Microsporidia; Enterocytozoonidae.